UCUCUCAUACUCCACAUAAGAAAAUGGGAGAUCAUGUUGAAUAAUAGAUUUAGCUACCAUUUCCCUGACACUAUGUUGAUCUAUCUUCCUAUCUUGAAGUCUUGCUUCUUAAUUGAGCAUCAUAGUACCAAUAUCACCAUUCCUAAGAUUAAGAUUACAAGUUAGCAAAUGGCGUCUAUAUGUGUUUGUAACGUUUUUGGUGCGUUGAACGCAAAAUCUCCCUUGCAAUACUUGCACUGAGCUCUUUCUUCACUCACC
This 258-nucleotide long non-coding RNA is filed under the name Capsella rubella. RNAcentral's name for it is "long non-coding RNA (CRUB_LNC001661)". Lineage: Eukaryota; Viridiplantae; Streptophyta; Magnoliopsida; Brassicales; Brassicaceae. The record is from RNAcentral.